CCAUAUAUAAGGCUAUCAUGUGGGAUACUGUCUGGUGAGCCGCUGUAUCUAAGCCAUCAUGUGUGAUAAGUCUGCUGAGCCGCUGUAUCUAAGCCUAUCAUGUGUGAUACUGUCUGCUGAGCCGCUGUAUCUAAGGCCAUCAUGUGUGAUACUGUCUGCUGAGCUAUGUAUCUAAUCCUAUCAUGCCCGAUACUGUCUGCUAAGCUUUAUCUGACCAUGAUACUGCUGGCCGAGCCUGUGUAUCUAGGCCUAUUGUGUGAUACAGUCUCAGGGAACCAUGCAGCAGCAUGAAGGAUUACAGGCGACAUUGUGUGGAGAGGAGAUACAUGUAUUUCGGACGCCGCUGGACCCAGGACACACACUGCAGUAGACACUUUACACA
Bufo bufo (common toad) is the source of this 382-nucleotide long non-coding RNA. RefSeq lists it as uncharacterized. The record is from RefSeq and is a predicted model, not a curated record. Lineage: Eukaryota; Metazoa; Chordata; Amphibia; Anura; Bufonidae. The transcript is spliced from 2 exons.